This 482-nucleotide ribosomal RNA is filed under the name uncultured bacterium. Its description in RNAcentral is "partial 16S ribosomal RNA". It matches the Rfam family "Bacterial small subunit ribosomal RNA", at positions 30 to 507 of the family's 1533-position model. The record is from RNAcentral.
AUUGAACGCUGGCGGCAUGCUUUACACAUGCAAGUCGAACGGUGACAGGCCGCAAGGUGCUGACGAGUGGCGAACGGGUGAGUAAUGCAUCGGAACGUGCCCAGUCGUGGGGGAUAACUACUCGAAAGAGUAGCUAAUACCGCAUACGAUCUAUGGAUGAAAGCGGGGGACCGUAAGGCCUCGCGCGAUUGGAGCGGCCGAUGUCAGAUUAGGUAGUUGGUGGGGUAAAGGCUCACCAAGCCAACGAUCUGUAGCUGGUCUGAGAGGACAACCAGCCACACUGGGACUGAGACACGGCCCAGACUCCUACGGGAGGCAGCAGUGGGGAAUUUUGGACAAUGGGCGCAAGCCUGAUCCAGCAAUGCCGCGUGCAGGAAGAAGGCCUUCGGGUUGUAAACUGCUUUUGUACGGAACGAAACGGCUCUGGUUAAUACCCGGGGCUAAUGACGGUACCGUAAGAAUAAGCACCGGCUAACUACGUG